UUUUCUAAAAAAAUUUAUAUUUUAUGGUGUUUAGAUGCUUCUACAUAAACUACUUUUCGUUGUUUGAUAAGUGUAAUGCCCAAUUUUGACCCGGACCCAACAUAGACAAUAAAAACCAAAUAAAAUUAUUAAAAGUCCAAUGUCAAUAAAGUCCAAUUACAAUGAGCCAAAUUCAGACUAAAACCCGAUGUCUAGCCCAAAUACCAGACCCGAUUACAAACCCAGUAACCCUGAACAAGUUUUGACAGAAACCCUAGCAGCAAUAGCAAGCCUCCAGCACCGCAGCCAUCAGGUUUUUUUCUUCGCACGUACGCCCCAUCCGAGCGUGUACCUGCAACAAAGGAACAACAAAGCAGAAAACAAAGAUGCCAGCUAAUAGAAAGAACAAAAAAAACAGCAGCAAAUAACAAAAAAAGAAGAAAAGAAAAUAGCGAAAAUGACAGAUUUUGUUUUUUCCUUUUUCUAUUUUUUUUUGUUUUUCGAUAUAUAAAAUGAUUGUAAUAGAGCAAAGAGGACUUCCAGAUUGUAAAAAUACACAGAAAAGACAUAUUGAAACACAAAAAAAAAAAACAAAGAUUAAAGAUCGAUUGAUCCUUUUUUUCUCAAAAGGUGGUUCCUUUUUUCGUUUUUCUCUUGGUAUUUGCUUCUCAGCAAGUGAUCCUGUUGUUUUUUUGUUGCAUACAUAUAGAUAUAACGAAAGGGGGUUCUUUCGUUCAUUACUAGCGUAGAAAUAAAAGAGAAAAUAAGUUUUGAGAAAGAAAACUUACCUGGUGACCGGCCUUCUGCUCGCUCCGUCGUAAUCGGAGUCGCGCAAGAGGAUUCGGAAUAGCCACUGAUCGGGAUAUGAAAUGGCGCGGAGUUGAGAGGGGAGAGCUUAAGUUUUUCUUUCAAAUGGCAGAUCAGAUUUAGAUUAGGUUUUUUUUAUUUUUAUGUUUGUUAUAAAAAACGGUGCCGUUUAAGAGGUGAGAUCCGAUGAUCUGACCCGAUUCAGGGAAGAGGAUCCGUGCCUCUUUGUUCAUUGGUUUAUUUUUGCAACUAGUCCUCUUUUGUUUUAUAUUGUUCUAAUUCAACUUUCCGCAGUUUUCGAUUUACACCACAUAAUUUAUUCUGGUUUCAAUUUGGUUCAUAGUUAAACGGCGACGUUUAUUAUCUGAUUUUAAAUGUUUGAACUAUUG
RNAcentral lists this long non-coding RNA (1175 nucleotides) under Gossypium barbadense (sea-island cotton). RNAcentral's name for it is "long non-coding RNA (GBAR_LNC020204)". Lineage: Eukaryota; Viridiplantae; Streptophyta; Magnoliopsida; Malvales; Malvaceae. The record is from RNAcentral.